GAUGAAGAACGCAGCGAACUGCGAUAAGUAAUGUGAAUUGCAGAAUUCAGUGAAUCAUCGAGUCUUUGAACGCACAUUGCGCCCCCUGGCAUUCCGGGGGGCAUGCCUGUCCGAGCGUCAUUGCUGCCCUUCAAGCCCGGCUUGUGUGUUGGGUCGUCGUCCCCCCCGGGGGACGGGCCCGAAAGGCAGCGGCGGCCCCGCGUCCGGUCCUCGAGCGUAUGGGGCUUUGUCACCCGCUCGAUUAGGGCCGGCCGGGCGCCAGCCGGCGUCUCCAACCUUCUAUUUUACCAGGUUGACCUCGGAUCAGGUAGGGAUACCCGCUGAACUUAAGCAUAUCAAUAAGCGGAGGA
RNAcentral lists this unclassified non-coding RNA (350 nucleotides) under soil metagenome. RNAcentral describes it as "partial contains 5.8S ribosomal RNA, internal transcribed spacer 2, and large subunit ribosomal RNA". The stretch from base 1 to 120 matches the Rfam family "5.8S ribosomal RNA", at positions 35 to 154 of the family's 154-position model. The record is from RNAcentral.